GACGAACGCUGGCGGCGUGCUUAACACAUGCAAGUCGAACGGAAAGGCCCUGCUUUUGUGGGGUGCUCGAGUGGCGAACGGGUGAGUAACACGUGAGUAACCUGCCCUUGACUUUGGGAUAACUUCAGGAAACUGGGGCUAAUACCGGAUAGGAGCUCCUGCUGCAUGGUGGGGGUUGGAAAGUUUCGGCGGUUGGGGAUGGACUCGCGGCUUAUCAGCUUGUUGGUGGGGUAGUGGCUUACCAAGGCUUUGACGGGUAGCCGGCCUGAGAGGGUGACCGGCCACAUUGGGACUGAGAUACGGCCCAGACUCCUACGGGAGGCAGCAGUGGGGAAUAUUGCACAAUGGGCGGAAGCCUGAUGCAGAAACGCCGCGUGCGGGAUGACGGCCUUCGGGUUGUAAACCGCUUUCGACUGUGACGAAGCGUGAGUGACGGUAAUGGGUAAAGAAGCACCGGCUAACUACGUG
Molecule: ribosomal RNA, 468 nt
Filed under: uncultured bacterium
Lineage: Bacteria
Description: partial 16S ribosomal RNA
Rfam family: Bacterial small subunit ribosomal RNA
Source: RNAcentral